CACUAUAGAAUCGCCUGUUUAUCAAAAACAUGGCCUUUUGUGUUUUGAUAUAUAAGGUCUGACCUGCUCACUGAGGUUACACUUAAAGAGCUGCAGUAUAUCUGACUGUACGAAGGUAGCGUGAUAAUUUGUCUAUUAAUUGUAGACUUGGAUGAAUGGUUUGACAAGGUGAAUACUGUCUCCUUCAAAAAGGGUUGAAUUUCAUUUUCUAGUGAAGAAGCUGGAAUGAAUCCAAGGGACGAGAAGACCCUAUAGAUUUUUAGUAAAUUGAUUUAUGAUAGGUUAGUUAAUGUUUAAAUUGUAUCGACGGAGAAGUUUAGGUCUGUUAUUUUUGCUGGGGCGGCAGUUGAAGAAAAGUAUCUUCAGUUAUAAGUAAAUCAUUUGUGGAUGAGAUGAUCCCAUAUUAUGGAUAGAAAGAUAAAAAAUACCUUAGGGAUAACAGCGUUAUUCUUUUUGAGAGUUCAUAUCGACAAGAGAGAUUGCGACCUCGAUGUUGAAUUAGGAGUGAGUAGUUAGGUGUAGGAGCUUAAAUUCUGGGUCUGUUCGACCUUUAAAUUUCUACGUGAUCUGAGUUCAGACC
RNAcentral lists this ribosomal RNA (580 nucleotides) under Pleomothra apletocheles. RNAcentral's name for it is "LSU rRNA". It matches the Rfam family "Bacterial large subunit ribosomal RNA", at positions 1782 to 2617 of the family's 2925-position model. The record is from RNAcentral. Lineage: Eukaryota; Metazoa; Arthropoda; Remipedia; Nectiopoda; Godzilliidae.